GCGCGUUGCGUGUCACGAAGUAACGAGCGAAGCACUCUCCGCGAACGGGUUUUACACUCGACGAGAGCAAUCGCGUUACUGCGGAGCGGCAGGCGUGGCGGCGCUGCAAUCGCACUCGAGCUUUCGAGGACAGAGCGGCACCGAUGGAGGGGGAGAGCCACGCGAGGAUCUCGGGUGGGGGAAGCUGAACCGAAGCCACGGCGAAAGGAGCGUCGGAAGGGAGCAGGCUCACGCACACGAAUCGAAAGGUGGGGAGCCACGUGAGCGCCCGAUGCCCGGUGUCCACGCAACACGACGUGGGACUCGCCUUACCUUGCGUUACCUUGCCUUCCCAUGCCCGAGCCUCGCUCGCAUCGUAUUGCCACCCCUGCCGCUCUCGAGAACCCUUUUGUUUUUUUCGUCCCCCCUUCCCUUUCUUCUUCUUCUUCUUCUUCUUCCUCUUCUUUUUACGUUUUCCACAACUUUCACGUUUCUUUGCCAAUGUACCGUUGUUGCCGCGUUUUCACGAUUUUGGGAUUCGAUUGGGAAAUUGGAAGUAUACAGAUCGCAUGAUAAAACAAGAAUUAGAUCAGAAGGUAUUACGGGUCAACGAAAAGUGUUCGAAGAGUAAUCAUUAUUAUUAUUAUUAUUACAAUGAUAAUCUUAAUAAAAUGUCGGAAGUUUUAAGAUGUGUAAUUUUAUGAUGUAUCGAUAUCAACAAUUUCAUGCGAAAAUAUAAAAUACAAAAAAAGGAUCAAUGAUUUUGAGAAUGUUUUAUGAUUGGAAAAAAAAAUUCAUACCGAUUUUUUCGAAACAUUUGUCAAACUUUUCUCCCGAGGAAAUGUUCAAAUUUUCAAAAUUGUUUUCAAAAAAAAAUUCCCGAUAUUCCGUUUCGACUACGAUACAUUGAACUACGUUUUCUGAAAUAAUAUCCUCUAAUAAGCGAUAACAUCGAAGACGAAGUCACGUCGAUCGAUCCAGCAAAUAUUCAUGGCAUGAUUGGGGACAACUCGGUGAACAUCGUCCGUUGAAGAGCAGUUCAACCUUCUAAAUCACCAGUGGAUCCAAGGAACCAGUCCAGGAUUUAUUCUACUAAGAUCGGAGAAGACCAAAAGUCCAAUUUAUCGUGUUCAGGGUCAAGUUGAACACAUUUGUACGACGUGAUGAAGAAGGAUGGUCUAUCCUGACGCGUGGCGCGUGCGAAAACGACCACAUCUCGUGCACUGCAUUGUAGUUCGAACCUUAUUUUCUUCCCUCCCCCUUUUCACACCUCCCUUUUACAGGUUAUAUUUUCCGAUCUCUCUUAUUUGGAUUACUAUAUGGACUCUGUUUCGAUCGUGAAUCCAAAAUCUAGGAGAAAAGGAAUCGCCGACUUUCCACGAUCGUUCUCCUGUUCGGGAAAAAUUCUAAUUUCGAAAUGACCGUAACGAUGUAAUAAACUGUGAAAGUAAUUUAAGAUUAAAAAGUAAUCGAAUGGAUAUUUAACUAGUAAAGAAAUUUCAUGCUCUCGAGAUGCGAAAUGGACGAAGAAGAUGAACUCGACGAAAAAAUAUAUACAACUCUCUGCAAAGAUAUUGGCCAAGAAAAAAAACCUGACUUCGUUGCCCUCGAUCUUCUCUUGGACACCAUCAGUUUCGUUUCACCGUUUCGAGGAGAGGGUAAAAAUGACCCAAAUUACAGAAUCAGAAUUUUGCAAAGAAAAUUAUACGAUGUUAUAAUUUCCAAUUCUCUUACAAUACUAAUAAUAAAACGACGACAAGGAUAUUGUUAAACUUUACGUUUUAAAUAUUAUUACACGUAAAACUGAUUAUUAAAAAUUGAUUAAUUAACUAAAACUAUG
Molecule: long non-coding RNA, 1819 nt
Organism: Apis cerana (Asiatic honeybee)
Lineage: Eukaryota; Metazoa; Arthropoda; Insecta; Hymenoptera; Apidae
Source: RefSeq, a predicted model, not a curated record